GCAACGCGAAGAACCUUACCAGGCCUUGACAUGCAGAGAACUUCCAGAGAUGGAUUGUGCCUUCGGGAACUCUGACACAGGUGCUGCAUGGCUGUCGUCAGCUCGUGUCGUGAGAUGUUGGGUUAAGUCCCGUAACGAGCGCAACCCUUGCCCUUAGUUACCAGCACGUUAUGGUGGGCACUCUAAAGGGACUGCCGGUGUUAAACCGGAGGAAGGUGGGGAUGACGUCAAGUCCUCAUGGCCUUUAUGACCAGGGCUACACACGUACUACAAUGGCCGAUACAAAGGGCAGCGACACUGCGAGGUGAAGCCAAUCCCGUAAAAUCGGUCUCAGUCCGGAUUGGAGUCUGCAACUCGACUCCAUGAAGUUGGAAUCGCUAGUAAUCGUGGAUCAGCAUGCCACGGUGAAUACGUUCCCGGGCCUU
This 425-nucleotide ribosomal RNA is filed under the name uncultured Desulfobulbus sp. RNAcentral describes it as "bacterial SSU rRNA". It matches the Rfam family "Bacterial small subunit ribosomal RNA", at positions 956 to 1382 of the family's 1533-position model. Lineage: Bacteria; Pseudomonadati; Thermodesulfobacteriota; Desulfobulbia; Desulfobulbales; Desulfobulbaceae. The record is from RNAcentral.